CUCUGCGGAUUCUGUGGCUGUGUCACCCUCAUCCCGCAGCAUGAAACUCAUCGCUCUCCUCUUCCUGACUGCCCUGGCCGGGGCCCUGGUCUGUGCCCAAGACGCCCCGGUAGAAGAAACCCCUACUGAGACCCCUGCUGAGACCCCUGCCGAGACCCCUGCCGAGACCCCUGCUGAAACCCCUGCUCCAGCGGAGGCCACCCAGGAGACGCCUGCACCUGCCCAGGAGACACCGGCAGCGACCCAGGCCACUUCGGCAGCGACCCAGGCGACAAGCAGUAUCACCCCAGCGAAAUCUGGCUCCUUUCUGGAUGGCUUAAAAAAUAAGUUCAAGGUUCUGCUCGGGUGAGUUGAAGGCAAGAAGAAACCAACUGCGGGUGGAAUUUCCUUACGGGAAAAACAGCCGUCACUGGACUCCAAGCCUCAUGGCCCUAAACUAUUAAACUGAGAGCAUCCA
Molecule: non-coding RNA, 457 nt
Organism: Oryctolagus cuniculus (rabbit)
Lineage: Eukaryota; Metazoa; Chordata; Mammalia; Lagomorpha; Leporidae
Source: RefSeq, a predicted model, not a curated record